GACGAACGCUGGCGGCGUGCUUAACACAUGCAAGUAGAACGCUGAAGGAGGAGCUUGCUUCUCCGGAUGAGUUGCGAACGGGUGAGUAACGCGUAGGUAACCUGCCUGGUAGCGGGGGAUAACUAUUGGAAACGAUAGCUAAUACCGCAUAACAGUAGAUAUUGCAUGAUAUCUGCUUGAAAGGUGCAAUUGCAUCACUACCAGAUGGACCUGCGUUGUAUUAGCUAGUUGGUGAGGUAACGGCUCACCAAGGCAACGAUACAUAGCCGACCUGAGAGGGUGAUCGGCCACACUGGGACUGAGACACGGCCCAGACUCCUACGGGAGGCAGCAGUAGGGAAUCUUCGGCAAUGGACGGAAGUCUGACCGAGCAACGCCGCGUGAGUGAAGAAGGUUUUCGGAUCGUAAAGCUCUGUUGUAAGAGAAGAACGAGUGUGAGAGUGGAAAGUUCACACUGUGACGGUAUCUUACCAGAAAGGGACGGCUAACUACGUGCCAGCAGCCGCGGUAAUACGUAGGUCCCGAGCGUUGUCCGGAUUUAUUGGGCGUAAAGCGAGCGCAGGCGGUUAGAUAAGUCUGAAGUUAAAGGCUGUGGCUUAACCAUAGUACGCUUUGGAAACUGUUUAACUUGAGUGCAAGAGGGGAGAGUGGAAUUCCAUGUGUAGCGGUGAAAUGCGUAGAUAUAUGGAGGAACACCGGUGGCGAAAGCGGCUCUCUGGCUUGUAACUGACGCUGAGGCUCGAAAGCGUGGGGAGCAAACAGG
RNAcentral lists this ribosomal RNA (763 nucleotides) under uncultured Streptococcus sp. RNAcentral describes it as "bacterial SSU rRNA". It matches the Rfam family "Bacterial small subunit ribosomal RNA", at positions 28 to 776 of the family's 1533-position model. Lineage: Bacteria; Bacillati; Bacillota; Bacilli; Lactobacillales; Streptococcaceae. The record is from RNAcentral.